GAGCUUGCUCCCUGAUUCAGCGGCGGACGGGUGAGUAAUGCCUAGGAAUCUGCCUGGUAGUGGGGGACAACGUCUCGAAAGGGACGCUAAUACCGCAUACGUCCUACGGGAGAAAGCAGGGGACCUUCGGGCCUUGCGCUAUCAGAUGAGCCUAGGUCGGAUUAGCUAGUUGGUGAGGUAAUGGCUCACCAAGGCGACGAUCCGUAACUGGUCUGAGAGGAUGAUCAGUCACACUGGAACUGAGACACGGUCCAGACUCCUACGGGAGGCAGCAGUGGGGAAUAUUGGACAAUGGGCGAAAGCCUGAUCCAGCCAUGCCGCGUGUGUGAAGAAGGUCUUCGGAUUGUAAAGCACUUUAAGUUGGGAGGAAGGGCAGCUAAUUAAUACUUCGCUGUUUUGACGUUACCGACAGAAUAAGCACCGGCUAACUCUGUGCCAGCAGCCGCGGUAAUACAGAGGGUGCAAGCGUUAAUCGGAAUUACUGGGCGUAAAGCGCGCGUAGGUGGUUUGUUAAGUUGAAUGUGAAAUCCCCGGGCUCAACCUGGGAACUGCAUCCAAAACUGGCAAGCUAGAGUAGGGCAGAGGGUGGUGGAAUUUCCUGUGUAGCGGUGAAAUGCGUAGAUAUAGGAAGGAACACCAGUGGCGAAGGCGACCACCUGGGCUCAUACUGACACUGAGGUGCGAAAGCGUGGGG
This 694-nucleotide ribosomal RNA is filed under the name Pseudomonas lutea. RNAcentral describes it as "bacterial SSU rRNA". It matches the Rfam family "Bacterial small subunit ribosomal RNA", at positions 76 to 766 of the family's 1533-position model. Lineage: Bacteria; Pseudomonadati; Pseudomonadota; Gammaproteobacteria; Pseudomonadales; Pseudomonadaceae. The record is from RNAcentral.